GCUGGGUGUGGUGGUGCACACCUGUAAUCCCAGCUACUUGGGAGGCUGAGGUGGAAGAAUUGCUUGAACCCAGGAGGCAGAGGUUGCAGUGAGCCGAGAUUGCACCAUUGCACUUCAGCUUGGGUGACAGAGUGAAACUCCAUCUCAA
Unclassified non-coding RNA from Pongo abelii (Sumatran orangutan), 148 nucleotides. It matches the Rfam family "Metazoan signal recognition particle RNA". From Rfam's summary of the family: The signal recognition particle (SRP) is a universally conserved ribonucleoprotein. It is involved in the co-translational targeting of proteins to membranes. Lineage: Eukaryota; Metazoa; Chordata; Mammalia; Primates; Hominidae. The record is from Ensembl.